CCUACGGGUGGCUGCAGUGGGGAAUAUUGGACAAUGGGGGAAACCCUGAUCCAGCCAUGCCGCGUGAGUGAUGAAGGCCUUAGGGUUGUAAAGCUCUUUUGUCAGGGAAGAUGAUGACGGUACCUGAAGAAUAAGCACCGGCUAACUUCGUGCCAGCAGCCGCGGUAAUACGAAGGGUGCUAGCGUUGUUCGGAAUCACUGGGCGUAAAGCGCGCGUAGGCGGCUUUUCAAGUCAGAGGUGAAAUCCCCAGGCUCAACCUGGGAAUUGCCUUUGAAACUGGGAAGCUGGAGUAUUGGAGGGGAUAGCGGAAUUGCUAAUGUAGAGGUGAAAUUCGUAGAUAUUAGCAGGAACACCGGUGGCGAAGGCGGCUAUCUGGACAAUUACUGACGCUGAAGUGCGAAAGCGUGGGGAUCAAACAGGAUUAGAUACCCCUGUAGUC
This 440-nucleotide ribosomal RNA is filed under the name uncultured bacterium. Its description in RNAcentral is "bacterial SSU rRNA". It matches the Rfam family "Bacterial small subunit ribosomal RNA", at positions 338 to 795 of the family's 1533-position model. RNAcentral also lists the same sequence under 1 other name. The record is from RNAcentral.